Molecule: ribosomal RNA, 301 nt
Filed under: uncultured bacterium
Lineage: Bacteria
Description: partial 16S ribosomal RNA
Rfam family: Bacterial small subunit ribosomal RNA
Source: RNAcentral
CAGUAGCCGCGGGAAUACGUAGGUGGCAAGCGUUGUCCGGAAUUAUUGGGCGUAAAGGGCUCGCAGGCGGUUUCUUAAGUCUGAUGUGAAAGCCCCCGGCUCAACCGGGGAGGGUCAUUGGAAACUGGGAAACUUGAGUGCAGAAGAGGAGAGUGGAAUUCCACGUGUAGCGGUGAAAUGCGUAGAGAUGUGGAGGAACACCAGUGGCGAAGGCGACUCUCUGGUCUGUAACUGACGCUGAGGAGCGAAAGCGUGGGGAGCGAACAGGUUUAGAUACCCCGGUAGUCCCUGUCUCUUAUAC